Molecule: ribosomal RNA, 305 nt
Filed under: uncultured bacterium
Lineage: Bacteria
Description: bacterial SSU rRNA
Rfam family: Bacterial small subunit ribosomal RNA
Source: RNAcentral
CCUACGGGAGGCAGCAGUGAGGAAUAUUGGUCAAUGGCCGAGAGGCUGAACCAGCCAAGUCGCGUGAGGGAUGACGGCCCUACGGGUUGUAAACCUCUUUUGUCGGGGAGCAAGACCCGCCACGAGUGGCGGAGCGAGAGUACCCGAAGAAAAAGCAUCGGCUAACUCCGUGCCAGCAGCCGCGGUAAUACGGAGGAUGCGAGCGUUAUCCGGAUUUAUUGGGUUUAAAGGGUGCGUAGGCGGCCUGCUAAGUCUGGAGUGAAAGGUACCGGCUCAACCGGUACAGGCUCUGGAAACUGGCGGGG